GGCGGGAAAUAAUGGGGGCUGAUCAUGAGAGUGGCGGACCAGCCAGCUGAGUGGAUGGAGCCUCGCACACGUCACUGCCCGCCGCGGCCGUCAAGAGAGAGCGUCAGCCUCGUCCGGCUCACUCUCUCUCCUUCAGCCGGGAGAGACGCUCGACUCGCGGCUUAGGAUGCUUCUGGAUCCCCGCUGCAGCACCGCGCACUUCCACGCUGCAUGAAUCCGUGCACACGCACGCCCUGACGAGGCCUGACGACACGUGCACGCGCCUUGUAGGAGGGACCCGUUCCAUGUUAGUCCAUCAGCACUUUGAGAGGAGGAGGGAGCCUUCGGGGUUGAUUGUUAUCUUUGGUUAUCUAGCUGUAUGAGUGAUGUACAUUCUUCAUAAAGCUAGAUAACCGAAAGUAACAAGAAUCCCAUUACACUCCUGGAAAGGCACCAAGAAGAACCCCAAUGGACCCGUCCACAAGAACACAGUCACGCCAGGGUUGUGAAGAUUCUUGAAGGACCUUGGAUCAGGAAGCAGUGAGAGGCUAACGCUGGCCAAAGGAUGCUGGAAAGCGAAAUGAAGAAGAAGAAGAAUGAGGACGAGGAGGGGGGGUUGCUGUUGAUUCUGUCCUCCCUCUCUCCUCCUCUGCAUGCCCUCUCCCCUCCUCCUCCUCUUCCUCUUCCUCCUACCUUCCUCCUGCGCUCCAUCCUCAGCGCGCUGCCCCUCUUCCCAGCUCGCCACCAUCUUAGAGCCACGCUGGCACCAAAUAGAAGCGGACCAGCCGCCAGUGCAGGUUGAUGUUGGCUGACUGAGCUGAGGAUUGUGGGACGUCAUCACAUGGAUGCUUCCUCAUUUGUGCAGUCGGAGCCAAGAAUGACGUUCUUGUCUUGAUGGAGGUUCUGGGCUGAUGGUGCUGUUGGACCACAUGAUGAUAAGCACUCCCAAUGCCUUGACGACUUCAACACAAUCGUAGUGAUAUCACCGUUAUCUACGUAAUGAAUCAUAUUAAUAAUGAAGACGUAGCCCGGUUUUUGUUUUCGUCGCUCAGACUGGUGAAUGUGAGACCCACGGCAGCAGUGAAUCUUACUGCACUGUGAUUGGACAGCUCGUGUGUCAGCUGACACAACGACCAAUGAGGGAGCUGUCGUCUUUAAACGCUAUGCAACUGCUCUUCUUCGAACUGUGCACGUGGCUGCACACACACACACACACACACACACACACACACACACAUUUCCCUGCAGGCUUUACAGCGGUGGUGUGGCCAGUAGGAGUCACAAACACGCCUUAAUUUCCUCUUCUUGACACACACACGCACCCACACGCACCCACUCGCAAUAUUAAUAAUCACAGCCUAAUUUGCUCUAUAUUAAUUUUCGGCAAGUGGCAUUUUUUUGAUGAGCAUUGAUAAUCUAUGCUAAUCUUUUCAAAUAUGACUUUAAAUCAUCACCGUCCAGUCUGUGCGUUGCUUCUUUUUUUUUUUUUUUUUUGCAAAUUGAUUCUAGAGCCUCAUUUAGAAACUAUGAUAUUCUUUUGAUAAUGGUGCACACUGCCAGCGUGAGACAAUGACUUAUCUGCCUGGAUAAGCUUGAAAUGAUGUUUUUUAAGCCUCUGAUGUCUUUGCACAGGCGAGGAAAUCUCCGCUUGUGAUCCCAAAUCUGCUUUUUUUAUAUUCCUUUUAAUGUACGUCAGCUAUAUGGUUUAAGUUGUGCUGUUUUAUUUUUUGGCAACAAUUUACUGUGGGCGUUCACCAAUGUGCCUAUGAUGACUGUGUUGCAAUAGUAUUAAAUGUUUACAGUGAAAACAAUGCA
Long non-coding RNA from Dunckerocampus dactyliophorus (ringed pipefish), 1794 nucleotides. RefSeq lists it as uncharacterized. Lineage: Eukaryota; Metazoa; Chordata; Actinopteri; Syngnathiformes; Syngnathidae. The transcript has 5 exons. The record is from RefSeq and is a predicted model, not a curated record.